Molecule: long non-coding RNA, 2194 nt
Filed under: Fragaria vesca (wild strawberry)
Lineage: Eukaryota; Viridiplantae; Streptophyta; Magnoliopsida; Rosales; Rosaceae
Description: long non-coding RNA (FVES_LNC003293)
Source: RNAcentral
AGAAUUUCUCUAUCCUCCUUUCUUCUCAUAGAUCACACCCUACUUACUAAUCAAGCCAAAGACCAAGUCCCAUUGAAGCAAAUGUUCAGCUGUCUCCUAUUGGAUUAAUUCAUAAUCCAAAAAUUAAAAAAAAUACAGGCCAGAAAUGAAAAGAAAUAUAUAUAGAGGAGGAGGAGGGAGGGAGGGACCUUUGAGGUAGACAGAUGAGUCAUAAAUAUAAAUCUGGUAUUCUGAUGCCUUAAAUAAUUGUUGGGUAUCCAAAUCUCUCUGCUUUUUAUCUCUACAACAAUCCUUCAAUCACUAUAAAGUCCCAGAGCUUUUGUCACUCCGAUCAUUCCGACAUCUGCUUCCUCCUCGCUCUCUGAUUUUCCGGGAAUCCCAUUUCCUUUUUCUCUCAUUUUCCGGUAUAAAAUCGUGUACUACACAAAAGCAAACUCGGAUAUUCCCGACUCUUUCUGCUCAGCUUUUCUUUCCUUUCGCAAAUUUCGCUUCCUGGGUUUGAUUUCGGCUUAUCGUCUGAUUGAAGUGUCGUGACCUUUGAUCACAGAGAAGAGUUUUCGUGUUCGUGUCGACCGUUUGAGUUUCCUUAAAGGUUAGUUAACAAAACAGAAACAGGAGAGAGAAAAAAGAGUGACCGUUUGUUUGCCCGGAGAAUUGGCCGGAAAUAUAAAUAUCUCGGGUGUACGUAAAGGGAAUUGGUAACGUUGUUGCCAACGAAGACUCUCUGUAAGAGAAGACUGAGUAGUCCCUUUGAACUACCUCUUCCUCCUCCCCCGUGAUUUUUUCGUCAAAAAAUAGAAGUCUUUCUUCCUUCUUCUUCUUCUUCUUCUUUGCCAACGUAGGCCCAUUUCACUUCUGUCUUCAAAGAGAAAUCAAAUCCCGACAAUCAGUCUCUCUCUCUCUCUCUCUCUCUCUCUCUCUCCUCCUCCUCUCUCUUCUUUCUUUUCUUUUCUUUUCUUUUCUUUCUUUCUUUCUUUACUUUUACUUUUACUUUUACUUUUACCUUUUACCGUUUUACCGUUUUUACCGGUUUUUACCGGGUUUUUCCGGGUUUACGGGUUUACGGGUUACGGGUUACGGGUUACGGGUUACGGUUACGGUUUACGGUUUUUCGGUUUUUCGGUUUUUUCGGUUUUUACGGUUUUACGGUUUACGGUUACGGUACGUACGUACGUACGUACGUACGUACUACUCCUCCUCUCUCUCUCUCUCUCUCUCUCUCUCUCUCUCCUCCUCCUCCUCCUCCNCNGUUUUUUUUUUUUUUUUUCCAUUUUCUCUCUCUAUUUUUAUAUAGCUUUUUCCGACUCUGUUUUCCGGGUUGGGUGAGAGAAGGCUCGUGCUUUUGUUUUUUGGUUUCUCAGAGCGAGCCGAAAACUUGAAUUCGCUCUCUCCCCUCCUCUCUUGUACAAUCUCUCCAUCUUUUUCCAGACAUGAUUUUGGACAAAGGCUCAAUGCAAUCAAACCUUGAAUGCUUCCUACAUGGUACAACCCCUGUGCUCCAACCCCAAUUCUUGCCCAAGGUUUGUUCUUUUGUAAUCAAUUGUGUAAUUUUUUUAUUGGAUUGAUCCUAUUUUUGGGUUUAAUUAAGAUGAUUAUGUUGUUGUUGCAGUCUGAGAUUAGGAACCUUAAUCGUCUAUGGCACCCGUGGGAGAGGGAAAACGUUGAGUAUUUCACAUUGAGUGAUUUGUGGAAUUGUUUUGAUGAAUGGAGUGCUUAUGGUGCCGGAGUUCCGAUCACCUUGGAUAGCGGUGAGACCCUUGUGCAGUAUUAUGUCCCUUAUCUCUCUGCUAUCCAAAUCUUCACCAGCAAUUCGUCUGUAAAUAGCUUCAGGUACUGAGUUCUAUUCUCAAAUCUCAACCUCCAAAAUGACCAUUCUGAGGUGUGUGCUUAGAAAAACGGUAAAAAUUACAUUGGUAACUUUUUUCUAGCUGUGCCCGGUCGGUUAUGUAAUUUGUCUUUUUGUCACAAUCAACAUUAUGAAUUGCUGGUUUUGACUUUUGAUAAUGUCAAAUUCAUAUGGUGUGUGAUUAAAAUGAUGGAUUCUGAUAUAGGGUAGUUGGGUUACAUCGAAUUGGUGAUUCAUCCCCUUCUGAUUUCUACAAUUAAAUGGGUUUUUGGUCUUUUUAAUUAUGGUGUUGAUCUUUAUUUGAUGCAUGUAAUGACAGAAACAACGUUUAAACUGAUUAUUGCAGGG